GGGACACGUGAAACCCUGUGGGAAGCAGGAGGGACCACCCUCCAAGGCUAAAUACUACCGAGUGGCCGAUAGCGUAUAGUACCGUGAGGGAAAGGUGAAAAGAACCCCGGGAGGGGAGUGAAAUAGAGCCUGAAACCCUGCACUUACAAGCUGUGGAAGCACAUUUCUUGUGUGACCGCGUACUUUUUGUAGAACGGGCCAACGAGUUACGUUAAGUAGCAAGGUUAAGCACUUAAGGUG
This 240-nucleotide ribosomal RNA is filed under the name Clostridioides difficile. Its description in RNAcentral is "partial 23S ribosomal RNA". It matches the Rfam family "Bacterial large subunit ribosomal RNA", at positions 419 to 660 of the family's 2925-position model. The record is from RNAcentral. Lineage: Bacteria; Bacillati; Bacillota; Clostridia; Peptostreptococcales; Peptostreptococcaceae.